CCAACUGAGCCACCCAGGCGCCCCAGAAUUCCUCUUUUUGACCCAAUAAAAAAGCAAAAAGCCCUUCCAGAAAGUACCCCAUUAAAAAGUCUAUUUGCUUAGCCAGGUGCCUGACGCCCGCCCCUCUCUGUAAGGCAGGUCAAUAGCACUGCUGGCCUUGCCUCUGGUUCCUGGCAGCCACCUGCGGGAGGGUCCCACCGGUGGGGAACAAAGUGGGACGAGGCAGGAGCCAUCUGAGUGCAGCCUUGGAUCUGACA
Small nucleolar RNA from Mustela lutreola (European mink), 257 nucleotides. The record is from RefSeq and is a predicted model, not a curated record. NCBI's taxonomy places the organism in Eukaryota, Metazoa, Chordata, Mammalia, Carnivora, Mustelidae.